RNAcentral lists this transfer RNA (91 nucleotides) under Candidatus Improbicoccus pseudotrichonymphae. RNAcentral's name for it is "tRNA-Ser". It matches the Rfam family "tRNA". Rfam says of the family: Transfer RNA (tRNA) molecules are approximately 80 nucleotides in length. Their secondary structure includes four short double-helical elements and three loops (D, anti-codon, and T loops). Lineage: Bacteria; Bacillati; Bacillota; Clostridia. The record is from RNAcentral.
GGAGGGGUGUCCGAGUGGUUUAAGGAGUUGGUCUUGAAAACCAAUGAUUCUCUCAAAAGAACCAUGGGUUCGAAUCCCAUCCCCUCCGCCA